CCUACGGGCGGCAGCAGUCGAGAAUCAUUCACAAUGGGGGAAACCCUGAUGGUGCGACGCCGCGUGGGGGAAUGAAGGUCUUCGGAUUGUAAACCCCUGUCAUGUGGGAGCAAAUUAAAAAGAUAGUUCCACAAGAGGAAGAGACGGCUAACUCUGUGCCAGCAGCCGCGGUAAUACAGAGGUCUCAAGCGUUGUUCGGAAUCACUGGGCGUAAAGCGUGCGUAGGCUGUUUCGUAAGUCGUGUGUGAAAGGCCCGGGCUCAACCCGCGGACGGCACAUGUUACUGCGAGACUAGAGUAAGGGGAGGGGAACCGGAAGUCUCGGUGGAGCAGUGAAAUGCGUAGAUAUCGAGAGGAACACUCGGGGCGAAGGCGGGUUCCUGGACAUUAACUGACGCUGAGGCACGAAGGCCAGGGGAGCGAAAGGGAUUAGAUACCCCAGUAGUC
Molecule: ribosomal RNA, 446 nt
Filed under: uncultured bacterium
Lineage: Bacteria
Description: partial 16S ribosomal RNA
Rfam family: Bacterial small subunit ribosomal RNA
Source: RNAcentral